CAGUGUCCUGGCAGUGUUGGUGCUGCUGAGCCACAACACUACAGGACCACACAAAGCCCGAGCACCACGCUAACACCUCACUCACACUAACAUGGUGACAGAUGAUGAACUCUCCAGUUUCAGAUGCAGAACCAUCGUCCCGGGUGUGAACACUGAUGACAACAAUGGCGUCCCAUCUUCUCUUGUGAUUCCAUAUUAUUAUUGAUUUAUAUUGUAUAAGGUGCAUUAAUAAAAAUUAUUUAAAGA
Molecule: unclassified non-coding RNA, 246 nt
Filed under: Homarus americanus (American lobster)
Lineage: Eukaryota; Metazoa; Arthropoda; Malacostraca; Decapoda; Nephropidae
Description: uncharacterized LOC121860893, transcript variant X3
Source: RNAcentral